UACGUAGGCAGCGAGCGUUGUUCGGAGUUACUGGGCGUAAAGCGUGCGUAGGCGGUUUUCCAAGUCUGGUGUGAAAUCUCCCGGCUCAACCGGGAGGGUGCGCUAGAAACUGGGAGGCUGGAGUGCGGGAGAGGUAGGCGGAAUUCCUGGUGUAGCGGUGAAAUGCGUAGAUAUCAGGAGGAACACCGGUGGUGUAGACGGCUUACUGGACCGCGACUGACGCUGAGGCACGAAAGCGUGGGGAGCAAACAGG
This 253-nucleotide ribosomal RNA is filed under the name uncultured bacterium. RNAcentral's name for it is "partial 16S ribosomal RNA". It matches the Rfam family "Bacterial small subunit ribosomal RNA", at positions 524 to 776 of the family's 1533-position model. The record is from RNAcentral.